Molecule: non-coding RNA, 31 nt
Filed under: Mus musculus (house mouse)
Lineage: Eukaryota; Metazoa; Chordata; Mammalia; Rodentia; Muridae
Source: RNAcentral
UGAUAGCAUCCUUUAUCACUGACUAAUCCUA